Long non-coding RNA from Antechinus flavipes (yellow-footed antechinus), 2176 nucleotides. RefSeq lists it as uncharacterized. The transcript has 3 exons. NCBI's taxonomy places the organism in Eukaryota, Metazoa, Chordata, Mammalia, Dasyuromorphia, Dasyuridae. The record is from RefSeq and is a predicted model, not a curated record.
AAUCAGCCACAAGUCAUUCACAGCCAAGUCUGAUGAUGAAUGUGGGUGACUGAGCUGGAUCACAAAUAGGGUGUGACUCUCAAAUCAUUAAAGCUCAUUUUCUGACUCAUAAACUGGCUCUUGAUGGCAGUUCCCGAACAGGAAUCUGGAAAUGUUUUGCACAAAGGCUGCCUUUUUGAAAUGCCUAUGGGUCUUAUCAUACACUCCUUAAUUCAAAUGCUUUCAUGAUUACCCACUGCCUACUGAGUCUAUUAUCUGGCAGUAAAGGUCUGGCCCUAAUUCACACUUCAUGUACCUUAUGCUCCAAACAGAGUGACAAUUGCUGGCCCAUAAACAUGUCUUCCUGUCUUUCAUCUUAAUUCAUUUUUCUCCUUAUAUAAAGUAUGGCUUCAUUCAACCUCAUUCCCCCUUGUUGACAUUUUAACCUUCUUUCAAGGUUCUGUCAGACACCAUCUUGGUGAAAUUGUGUCAUCCCUCCCAGCUAUAAGUGCCUUUUCUUUCAUCUGAUUUCAGAACUCUGUAUUUGUCUUACAGCUCUUCUAGAGCUAGGAAGAAAGGAAGGAAGGAGACAAGACAGGAAGGGAAGGAAGAGAGAAAGAAGAGAAAGCAGGAAGGAAGGAAGAAGGGAGUGAGAAAGGGAGGUAGGGAGAGAAGAAGAAGGAAAAAAGAGAUGAAGCGAAGAAGGAAGGGAAGGAAAAAAAUACACUCUGGGAUGUCUAAGUUCUGGUCAGUUGGUUAAAUAAUCAUCAGUUCCAUUAUCUUCUUGCCUAGUCAGUACAAUACAGCUACAUCUUAUCUCCCACCUCGACUAUUAAGCUCACCAAAGUUCCAAUGUGUGAUUUCAUUGGUGUGAGGGAAGUCCCAGGGAGACGUUUGGCAGCCACAGGGUUCUGAACUAAGAAGAUCUGGACCUCCUUUAUCUAGCCGACCACCUCUCAUCCCCCUCUGAUGAAUGGGGAAGAAGGGUGCUGGAGGAAAGGGAAAGAAAGAAAUUGUCAGGGAUGCUUGCUACACAUUGUUUUAAUGCCUACUUUUCAAUACUCUUUUAAACUGCUAAUCAGUUACAUGGCCAUUAACAGUGUCUUGUGUAAUCCAAGAGUUGGGGGAGUGGAAUUGGAGAUGGUGGGGAGGAGGGAGCCAGCCAAUGAGGAAAAAUGGGAGUUCAAGUGUAGAGAAUUUUAAAUAUUUUUAUAUUAAUUUUUGAGAUUAUUUUAGAGCAUGCCUGCUAGACUGCCAUUGAACCCAGAAAGUGAACAAGGAGCUCAGUUAGAGUUUAGGGGUGGGAGGAGGAGGGACAAAGUUGACAGUCACCAAGUUGUGCCUUUUAAUGCUACUUCUCACCUCGCAUUAGAACAUUCUUGCAUCAACUCCCACAUCCUGCUGCAUUCAUCUGGGCAGACAAAAAUGCAUUCCCUAGCAUAUAUUCCACAUUUUUCCUUUCCACAUUCACCUUUUCUAAUUUGUAAACCUAUUUUAUUUCACUCCUGGACUAUGCAAUAUCCAAGCUAUUCUCCUUAUCUUAUCUCUCUAAACCAUCCUGUCUUAAGAUGGCAGUUUGUCUUCCUGAGGCUUACGGUCUCACAAGAUGAUGAUUCUUAAUCCAGGCUUUGUUCUUUUAAAGAUAGCUGAUUGUCCCUUUAAAUUCUUCCUGUCACACAAAAUUGAGUCCUUGAUCAUAUGCCAUCUUGUCUUUUACAUUCUUGUUUUUUAGAGACCUCUGGACACUUAAUGUUUUUCUUAAUCAAAGAUGGGGAGCAUCUACUUCACAGGCUUAUUGUGAAAGCAUUUGAAAGGUACUUUGUAAAUCUUAAAAUGCUAAAUGCUAUUACUUUCUAAGUCUUUUGUUUCAAACCAUGCUGCUUGCACUUUGACUCUCUUUCCCCCUCCCCUUAAUAGAACUUACUGUUCCACACCUGGAACCUGCACUCUAAUUAAAGACUGGGACUGAUAUAUUUAUAUUUGGAACCCACUGCUCUUAGCACAAUGCUUAAUACAUAGUGAGUGCUCAAAUAUUCAUUUUUUCAUUCAUUCCUAUGUACACAGAUAAAGAAUCGCUUAAGGGUAAAUUUCAUAUCUUUUCCUCCAUUUACCUUAUAGUGCCUAGGACAGGACUGGCUUAUGUGAAGUUGUCUGGAAUGACUUUUUUUUUAUUAAAGCUUUUUAUUUUCAAAACAUA